This is a long non-coding RNA of Aedes aegypti (yellow fever mosquito), 621 nucleotides long. RefSeq lists it as uncharacterized. The transcript has 4 exons. Lineage: Eukaryota; Metazoa; Arthropoda; Insecta; Diptera; Culicidae. The record is from RefSeq and is a predicted model, not a curated record.
ACGCAUUUGUCUUCUUGUAUGUUGCAGGUACGAUCUCCGACAUCGGGAAAAAGAAAGAAUAUGAAAAACGAUGUCAAGAGCUGCAGAGCAGGUGCGAUGAACUGCGGAAAGACCUGACCGGAGCUUACGCUAUCAUCGAUGAUCUGGAAUUCGAGCUGGAAAGCAUUGACUACUUAGAAGACGAAAACGACCGGCUACAACAGGAAGUCAAAAGUUUAAGGUCCAAACUGCAAGAUCAAUCUCCGCUGGCGCUUGCGGGUGCAGCAUCCACCGAAUCGAAAAGCACGCCGUCCGAGAUAGAGCAAUCUGAUGCCGAUUCUUCGGUUACAAUUAAGUUCAACUCUGAAGUGGAUAGCACCGACAAUGGCGAAAACAGCAGAAAAUCCCGACGAGACGGACUAAACAGGAAACUGUAUACCUUGCACGAAAAACAGUUUGGUCACUCCUCAAGGACAUAGGUUACGGUCUCAGAAGCAUAAUAACUGCGCCACACAACUUUUUACCCAUAUUUGCACUCUGAGGGUCAAACAACUGCCGGCGAUGCAUUUUCUCUCCGAUCAAUCAUAGUGUUUAUCCCCGGACUAAAUAAAUGCACCGUCUCAUUAUGGAUUUUACCCCCUU